AAUAGGACUGCGGUUCUAUUUUGUUGGUUUCUAGGACCGAAGUAAUGAUUAAUAGGGAUAGUUGGGGCCGUUUGUAUUCCGUUGUCAGAGGUGAAAUUCUUGGAUUUAUGGAAGACGAACUACUGCGAAAGCAUUUACCAAGGAUGUUUUCAUUAAUCAAGAACGAAAGUUAGGGGAUCGAAGAUGAUUAGAUACCAUCGUAGUCUUAACCAUAAACUAUGCCGACUAGGGAUUGGCGGUCGUUUGUUCAUGACUCCGUCAGCACCUUUCGAGAAAUCAAAGUCUUUGGGUUCCGGGGGGAGUAUGGUCGCAAGGCUGAAACUUAAAGAAAUUG
This 334-nucleotide ribosomal RNA is filed under the name Goniomonas pacifica. RNAcentral's name for it is "partial Eukaryotic small subunit ribosomal RNA". It matches the Rfam family "Eukaryotic small subunit ribosomal RNA", at positions 821 to 1155 of the family's 1831-position model. The record is from RNAcentral. Lineage: Eukaryota; Cryptophyceae; Goniomonadida; Goniomonadaceae.